Molecule: ribosomal RNA, 501 nt
Filed under: uncultured bacterium
Lineage: Bacteria
Description: partial 16S ribosomal RNA
Rfam family: Bacterial small subunit ribosomal RNA
Source: RNAcentral
ACUGAACGCUGGCGGCAGGCUUAACACAUGCAAGUCGAGCGGGGGAAGGUAGCUUGCUACCGGACCUAGCGGCGGACGGGUGAGUAAUGCUUAGGAAUCUGCCUAUUAGUGGGGGACAACAUCUCGAAAGGGAUGCUAAUACCGCAUACGUCCUACGGGAGAAAGCAGGGGAUCUUCGGACCUUGCGCUAAUAGAUGAGCCUAAGUCGGAUUAGCUAGUUGGUGGGGUAAAGGCCUACCAAGGGGACGAUCUGUAGCGGGUCUGAGAGGAUGGUCCGCCACACUGGGACUGGGACACGGCCCAGACUCCUACGGGAGGCAGCAGUGGGGAAUAUUGGACAAUGGGGGGAACCCUGAUCCAGCCAUGCCGCGUGUGUGAAGAAGGCCUUAUGGUUGUAAAGCACUUUAAGCGAGGAGGAGGCUACUUUAGUUAAUACCUAGAGAUAGUGGACGUUACUCGCAGAAUAAGCACCGGCUAACUCUGUGCCAGCAGCCGCAGUAA